This 405-nucleotide unclassified non-coding RNA is filed under the name soil metagenome. RNAcentral describes it as "partial contains 5.8S ribosomal RNA, internal transcribed spacer 2, and large subunit ribosomal RNA". The stretch from base 1 to 121 matches the Rfam family "5.8S ribosomal RNA", at positions 35 to 154 of the family's 154-position model. The record is from RNAcentral.
GAUGAAGAACGUAGUGAAAUGCGAUAAGUAAUGUGAAUUGCAGAAUUCAGUGAAUCAUCGAAUCUUUGAACGCACCUUGCGCCCUUUGGCCAUUCCGAAGGGCAUGCCUGUUUGAGUAUCAUGAACACCUCAACUCUUUAUGGUUUUCCAUGAUGAGCUUGGACUCUGGGGGUUUUGCUGGCUCACAGUCGGCUCCUCUAAAAUGAAUCAGCUUACCAGUGUUUGGUGGGUAUCAUGGGUGUGAUAACUAUCUACGCUUGUGGUUUUUCCACCAGGUAACCUUCAGCAGUGGAGGUUCGCUGGAGCUCAUAGAUGUCUCUCCUCAGUGAGGACAGCCCUUUGAAUGUUUGAUCUCAAAUCAGGUAGGACUACCCGCUGAACUUAAGUAUAUCAAUAAGCGGAGGA